Molecule: transfer RNA, 72 nt
Organism: Phytophthora infestans T30-4
Lineage: Eukaryota; Oomycota; Peronosporomycetes; Peronosporales; Peronosporaceae
Rfam family: tRNA
About the family: Transfer RNA (tRNA) molecules are approximately 80 nucleotides in length. Their secondary structure includes four short double-helical elements and three loops (D, anti-codon, and T loops). Further hydrogen bonds mediate the characteristic L-shaped molecular structure. tRNAs have two regions of fundamental functional importance: the anti-codon, which is responsible for specific mRNA codon recognition, and the 3' end, to which the tRNAs corresponding amino acid is attached (by aminoacyl-tRNA synthetases). tRNAs cope with the degeneracy of the genetic code in two manners: having more than one tRNA (with a specific anti-codon) for a particular amino acid; and 'wobble' base-pairing, i.e. permitting non-standard base-pairing at the 3rd anti-codon position.
Source: Rfam
GCCUCUAUAGCUCAGUGGUAGAGCUCUCGCUUAGUAAGCGGAAGCUCGGUAGUUCAAUGCUGGCUGGGUGCA